Non-coding RNA from Caenorhabditis elegans, 21 nucleotides. Lineage: Eukaryota; Metazoa; Nematoda; Chromadorea; Rhabditida; Rhabditidae. The record is from Ensembl.
UGGUUAUCAUAAAUUGGUGAA